Molecule: small RNA, 566 nt
Filed under: Pongo abelii (Sumatran orangutan)
Lineage: Eukaryota; Metazoa; Chordata; Mammalia; Primates; Hominidae
Description: retained intron
Source: RNAcentral
AAGCCCACUGGUGGAUAUCAGUGGGGCAGGAGGAAUCUAUGAACCUCAGGUUAAGAAACCCUUGUCAGAUAUAAUAUAUAUAUAAGUAGAUAUAUAUGAUAAAAAAAUAAGUUUAUGUAUCCUUUCUUAGGUGCCACAACAGAAGCAGAUUGGUUUCCUCUCGAGCUCUGCUUUGGAAUUCCACUGUUCAGUUCUGAAUUAAACCGGAAAGUUUGUAGGAAAAUUGCUACACAUGGCCUUUGCAGAAAAGAGAGCCUUCAAAACCUCUUACAUUCCAGUAGAAAACUCUCUCUGCAAGUCCUUAACUUUGUUCACUCAUUCCAGGAAGGUGCUUCAACAUUGGAUAUUCACACAGAGCCCAGUUUUUCAAGUUUGCUUUCACAGUCAUCGUAUGCUGACAUGGGUGUUCCACUUCCUGCAAAAAACUUAAUAUUUAAAGAUGGUGUCUUAUCAGAAUGGAGUGGACGGUCACCUUCCUCACUUCUUAUUGCUAAUCUCCAUUUGCAAUAAUUUGGUUACACCAUUUGUUGCUCACACUUUCUGCCUUUUUUCUUUCUUAACGUUAG